This 253-nucleotide ribosomal RNA is filed under the name uncultured bacterium. RNAcentral's name for it is "partial 16S ribosomal RNA". It matches the Rfam family "Bacterial small subunit ribosomal RNA", at positions 524 to 776 of the family's 1533-position model. The record is from RNAcentral.
CACGGGGGGAGCAAGCGUUGUUCGGAAUCACUGGGCGUAAAGGGCGUCUAGGCGGUCAGGUAAGUGAGAUGUGAAAUGCCCCGGCUCACCCGGGGACCGGCAUCUCAUACUGCUUGGCUUGAGUACGGGAGAGGAUGUGGGAAUUCCUGGUGUAGCGGUGAAAUGCGUAGAUAUCAGGAGGAACACCGGUGGCGAAGGCGCACAUCUGGCCCGAUACUGACGCUAAAGCGCGAAAGCUAGGGGAGCAAACGGG